Molecule: ribosomal RNA, 735 nt
Filed under: uncultured archaeon
Lineage: Archaea
Description: bacterial SSU rRNA
Rfam family: Archaeal small subunit ribosomal RNA
Source: RNAcentral
GGAUAACCCCGGGAAACUGGGGCUAAUACCGGAUAGGCAAUUAUUCCUGCAAUGGUUUUUUGUUUAAAUGUUUUUUCGCCUAAGGAUAGGUCUGCGGCUGAUUAGGUCGUUGGUGGGGUAAUGGCCCACCAAGCCGAUGAUCGGUACGGGUUGUGAGAGCAAGGGCCCGGAGAUGGAACCUGAGACAAGGUUCCAGACCCUACGGGGUGCAGCAGGCGCGAAACCUCCGCAAUGUACGAAAGUGCGACGGGGGGAUCCCAAGUGUUAUGCUUUUUUGUAUGACUUUUCAUUAGUGUAAAAAGCUUUUAGAAUAAGAGCUGGGCAAGACCGGUGCCAGCCGCCGCGGUAACACCGGCAGCUCGAGUGGUAGCUGUUUUUAUUGGGCCUAAAGCGUUCGUAGCCGGUUUGAUAAGUCUUUGGUGAAAGCUUGUAGCUUAACUAUAAGAAUUGCUGGAGAUACUAUUAGACUUGAAGUCGGGAGAGGUUAGAGGUACUACCGGGGUAGGGGUGAAAUCCUAUAAUCCUGGGAGGACCACCUGUGGCGAAGGCGUCUAACUGGAACGAUCUUGACGGUGAGUAACGAAAGCCAGGGGCGCGAACCGGAUUAGAUACCCGGGUAGUCCUAACUGUAAACGAUGUGGACUUGGUGUUGGAAUGGCUUUGAGUUGUUCCGGUGCCGAAGGGAAGCUGUUAAGUCCACCGCCUGGGAAGUACGGUCGCAAGACUGAAACUUAA